This 253-nucleotide ribosomal RNA is filed under the name uncultured bacterium. RNAcentral describes it as "partial 16S ribosomal RNA". It matches the Rfam family "Bacterial small subunit ribosomal RNA", at positions 524 to 776 of the family's 1533-position model. The record is from RNAcentral.
UACGUAGGGUGCGAGCGUUAAUCGGAAUUACUGGGCGUAAAGCGUGCGCAGGCGGUGAUGCAAGACAGAUGUGAAAUCCCCGGGCUCAACCUGGGAACUGCAUUUGUGACUGCAUCGCUGGAGUGCGGCAGAGGGGGAUGGAAUUCCGCGUGUAGCAGUGAAAUGCGUAGAUAUGCGGAGGAACACCGAUGGCGAAGGCAAUCCCCUGGGCCUGCACUGACGCUCAUGCACGAAAGCGUGGGGAGCAAACAGG